UUAGUCUUUUAAUUGGAGACUGGAAUGAAAGAGUGAACCGGGAGGAGCUUUUUUGGGUUAAAGAGGUGAAGUUAACUUUUUAGUAAGAAGGCUAAAAUUCUACUUGGGGACAAGAAGACCCUAUAAAACUUUAUAUUUUGUCUUUUUUAAGUUAAGGAUUAAGUAUUUUACUGGGGUGGUAGAGAAACGGAGCUUUUUUUAAAAAUUAUAACAGAUUGUUUAAAUAUCCAAAAUUUUUGAAGUAAGAAUAAGUUACUUUAGGGAUAACAGCUUGAUUCUUUUUGAAAGUUCAAAUUGACAAAAGAGAUUAAGACCUCGAUGUUGAAUUAAAAUUCCUUUAGGGCGCAAAAGCUU
RNAcentral lists this ribosomal RNA (354 nucleotides) under Compsobuthus acutecarinatus. Its description in RNAcentral is "partial large subunit ribosomal RNA". It matches the Rfam family "Bacterial large subunit ribosomal RNA", at positions 1968 to 2564 of the family's 2925-position model. Lineage: Eukaryota; Metazoa; Arthropoda; Arachnida; Scorpiones; Buthidae. The record is from RNAcentral.